UCUCCAUCCUCCUUCUC
Molecule: microRNA, 17 nt
Filed under: Macrophomina phaseolina MS6
Lineage: Eukaryota; Fungi; Ascomycota; Dothideomycetes; Botryosphaeriales; Botryosphaeriaceae
Description: miR-1952
Source: RNAcentral